GUGGCUGUGGCUCAGCGGUAGACUCUCGCCUAGCAUGUGUGAGGCCCUGGGUUCAAUCCUCAGCACCACA
RNAcentral lists this transfer RNA (70 nucleotides) under Marmota monax (woodchuck). RNAcentral describes it as "tRNA.Ala". Lineage: Eukaryota; Metazoa; Chordata; Mammalia; Rodentia; Sciuridae. The record is from RNAcentral.